Molecule: ribosomal RNA, 253 nt
Filed under: uncultured bacterium
Lineage: Bacteria
Description: partial 16S ribosomal RNA
Rfam family: Bacterial small subunit ribosomal RNA
Source: RNAcentral
UACGUAGGGGGCAAGCGUUGUCCGGAAUCAUUGGGCGUAAAGCGCGUGUAGGCGGCUCGGUAAGUCCGCUCUGAAAGUCCAGGGCUCAACCCUGGGAUGCGGGUGGAUACUGCCGGGCUAGAGUCCGGAAGAGGCGAGUGGAAUUCCUGGUGUAGCGGUGGAAUGCGCAGAUAUCAGGAGGAACACCGAUGGCGAAGGCAGCUCGCUGGGACGGUACUGACGCUGAGACGCGAAAGCGUGGGGAGCGAACAGG